GUCCAGGUCUGAGUGCCACAGGACCACGCGGGGAACUUAAGCAUAUCACUACCCGCAGGAAAAGAAAACAACCGUGAUUCCCUCAGUAUGGGCGACUGAAGAGGGAAGAGCUCAUGCUUGAAUCGGUCGGUAUGCGAAAGCCGCCCGAAUUGUAGCACAAGGUGCGGAUGACAGUGGAGGGUGCUGCCUAACUCCUCUGGAAUGGGGUGACCAAGGAGGGUGAGAGUCCCGUUCGAGCAGCAACCCAAAGCGUACGUUGUCCGAUACCAAGAGUCGCGCUGUUUGGGAGUGCAGCGCUAACGCCAGGUGUAUCUCUGGCAAGGCUAAAUAUUCGGCUGAGACCGAUAGUGCACAAGUAGUGCGAACGAAAGAUGACAAGCACUCUGUCAAGAGAGUGAAACAGCGCCUGAAACAGCAGCGCGGUAAGGUGAUGCGCUCCAUCGGCCGGUGAUAGCUUACGGACUGGCUUUGGCUUGGAAUGUACCAGCUUUCACCGUGCCAGCUCGACUUGUGCUGGGCUUACCGGCCUCCGGGUCUGGGGGUUGCUCUUCGGGGUGGCUCCAGCCGGGGGAGAUGAAGAUUUGGUGCGAGUCGUUGAAGAGACCAGGGUCAAGCUUGUGCGUUGGGCUGUCGUCCUAUGGGGUUACCUAACCUUCAUGGGAAUAGAUAUUCUCGCGUGUGAGUUUACACCUGGCAAGAAGCUGGUUUGAAUGGGCGCAUUGCACCCGUCUUGAAACACGGACCAAGGAGUCGAACACACGCGCAAGCGUUAUGGUGAAUGAAACCAUGGCGCGGAGUGAAAGCGAAGGUUGGGGUUGCUCAACUGUGGUGUGAAGGCCCUUGUGGCUGGCAACAUCGAUGGCUCGACUCUUAUGCCAAUCGAAGCGUGCGUGUUCGGACCCGAAAGAUGGUGAACUAUACCCGAGCAGGGUGAAGCCGGGAGAAAUUCCGGUGGAGGCCCGGAGCAGUGUUGACGUGCAAAUCACUUGCACGACUUGGGCAUAGGGGCGAAAGACUCAUCGAACCAUCUAGUAGCUGGUUCACACCGAAGUUUCCCUCAGGAUAGCUGUCGCCGAAAAGGGAGCCGUGCGAGGUAAAGCGAAUGAUCAGAGGCAUUGGUGUGCUGAGCAUGUCGACCUAUGCUCAAACUUUAAAUGUGCACGGAGCUGACCUUGCAUUGCAGAAGGUCAGACACGGGUCCCGGCGACAAGUGGGCCUUAACCGGUAAGCGGUUCAGGCGAUGCGGGAUGCUCCGAAACGGCACUUAAAGUGUGAGACUAAGGGCUCAUUUAGACCCACGCAAAGAGUGUUGGCCGAUCUAGACAGCAGGGCGGUGGCCAUGGAAGUCGGAAACCGCUAAGGAGUGUGUAACAACUCACCUGCCGAAUCGUCCGGCCUCGAAAAUGGAUCACGCUCAAGCCCUUGACUUAUAGUGCCGCGAAGAUUGGAUUUGAAAGGCCAUUCUUCGAGUAGGUGUGCGUGGCGCAUUGCUGCGAAGGCUAUGGCGUGAGCCUGGUUGGAGCAUGCGCUAGUGCAGAUCUUGGUUGUAGUAGCGAAUAUUCAAGUGCGAGCCUUGAAGGCUGAAGAUGGAGAAGGUUUCCAUGUCAACAGCAGUUGGACAUGGGUCAGGCGGCCCUAAGGCAAGCGUUAGAUCGUCAUCGAAAGGGCCGAUGGGGGAUAGCUUUCGGGUUACCCUCACGUCCGAAUGCCGAAAGGGAAGCCGGCGCACAUUCCGGCCCCACAACACGGGGAUCUGAAGCGGCAACGCAGCAGACGAUCUGGGUGAAGGCGUGCUUUGUACCCAGAAGAGUUCUCUUUUCUGUUGAAUGGGAGAGGUAGACCCUGAAGUCGCGUCAAGAGGAGCUAGGGUCUACCGCCCAGCAUAGCGGUUCACCCGGGAGCCGCAGGGUAGAUAAAGCACGCCCGCGGAAAAACCCAGGGAGCUCUCUAUCCCUCGUGUGUGGCCGUACCGAUAACCGCAUCCGGUCUCCGAGGUGAGAAACCUCUAGCCGACAGAACAAUGCAGCUAAGGGAAGUCGGCAAAAUAGAUGCGUAAGCUCGCGAGAAGCAUUGGCUCUGAGGGCCAGGCCAUUGGAACUUGCCGAGGCUCGAGUGUUGGAGGACUCGGCUGUGAGGCUAGCUUCGGUUGGCCUUGUGGACGGUGCUUUGACGCAAGGGACGAAGCAGGAUCGCCCCUUUGGUCUGAGUGGCCAACUCAGAACUGCUUACGGAGGGGAAUCCAACUGUUUAAUUGAAACAAAGGCCCGUGAUGCAUGUAAGUCGUGUUUUCCGCGAGCUGAUUUCUGCCCAGUGCUCUGAAUGUCAAUGGGAAGAGAUUCUCUCAAGCGCGGGUCAACGGCGGGAGUAACUAUGACUCUCUUAAGGUAGCCAAAUGCCUCGUCUUCUAACUAAAGACGCGCAUGAAGGGAUCAAUGAGAUUCCCACUGUCCCUAGCUGCUAUCUGGCGAAACGGCAGUCAAGGGAACGGACUUGAAAGGUUCAGCGGGGAAAGAAGACCCUGUUGAGUUUGACUCCAGUCUGUCAUUGUGGUGCCACAUUGGAGGUGUAGUACAGGUGGGAGCGAAAGCGCAAAUGAAAUACCACCACUUUGAUCGUGGCGCCGCUCACCCAAUGAUGCGGCAAGGAGGCACCGCUGCGCUCUCGAGUGCGGCGGGAGACCAUUUGAUCUCAGCUUUCGAGUUGUGGCGAUAAGCACGGGGAGGGUAAAACCGCUCCUGUGUGUCCCUCGCUUGGAGACAUUUGACAGACGGGGAGUUUGGCUGGGGCGGCAUAUCUGCUAGAACACAACGCAGGUGUCCUAAGGCAAGCUCAGUGAGAACAGAAAUCUCACGUGGCGCACAAGCGCAAAGGCUUGCUUGAUUACCGAUUUCCAGUACGAAUCUAGACUGUGAAAGCAAGGCCAGCGAUCCUUUGGUCGCAGCGUGUCGAGAUAUCGACGCCAGAGGUGACAGAAAAAUUACCACAGGGAUAACUGGCUCGUGGCAGCCAAGCGUUCAUAGCGACGUUGCUUUUUGAUCCUUCGAUGUCGGCUCUUCCUAGCUUAGCGCCGCAGAAGGCGCUAAGAGUCGGAUUGUUCACCCGCUAACAGGGAACGUGAGCUGGGUUUAGACCGUCGUGAGACAGGUUGGUUUUACCCUACUGAACCGAGUUCGGGUGAGGGCCCGGUGGCACGGCGAAGGCAAUAUGGGGUAGUACGAGAGGAACUCCCAUUUCGCAUCCCUGGUUUCUGCGGCUCGUCGAAGGGCGAGUGCCGCGAAGCUACCAUGCGACGGAUUACGGCUGAACGCCUCUAAGCCAGAACCCGUCCCUGAACCGUGCCUUAUGACGCUAGUCAUGCCUCAUUUGCAUAUGGUUGGAAGCGUGCAAUGUUACUCUUCGGAGUGCAAGCCCGUGUGUCGUCUUAGCGGCUCAACGUGAAUAUGCCAGCCGCAGAUGAGGUGCCACC
Molecule: ribosomal RNA, 3466 nt
Filed under: PVC group bacterium
Lineage: Bacteria; Pseudomonadati
Description: eukaryotic LSU rRNA
Rfam family: Eukaryotic large subunit ribosomal RNA
Source: RNAcentral